AAGUCGAACGAUGAAGGAGGAGCUUGCUCCUCCGGAUUAGUGGCGAACGGGUGAGUAAUACGUGAGCAAUGUGCCCUUGACUCUGGGAUAAGCGCUGGAAACGGCGUCUAAUACCGGAUACGACCCUCGGAGGCAUCUCCUGAGGGUGGAAAGAACUUCGGUCAAGGAUCAGCUCACGGCCUAUCAGCUUGUUGGUGAGGUAACGGCUCACCAAGGCGACGACGGGUAGCCGGCCUGAGAGGGUGACCGGCCACACUGGGACUGAGACACGGCCCAGACUCCUACGGGAGGCAGCAGUGGGGAAUAUUGCACAAUGGGCGCAAGCCUGAUGCAGCAACGCCGCGUGAGGGACGACGGCCUUCGGGUUGUAAACCUCUUUUAGCAGGGAAGAAGCGAAAGUGACGGUACCUGCAGAAAAAGCACCGGCUAACUACGUGCCAGCAGCCGCGGUAAUACGUAGGGUGCAAGCGUUGUCCGGAAUUAUUGGGCGUAAAGAGCUCGUAGGCGGUCUGUCACGUCUGCUGUGAAAACCCGAGGCUCAACCUCGGGCUUGCAGUGGGUACGGGCAGACUAGAGUGCGGUAGGGGAGAUUGGAAUUCCUGGUGUAGCGGUGGAAUGCGCAGAUAUCAGGAGGAACACCGAUGGCGAAGGCAGAUCUCUGGGCCGUAACUGACGCUGAGGAGCGAAAGCAUGGGGAGCAAACAGGCUUAGAUACCCUGGUAGUCCAUGCCGUAAACGUUGGGAACUAGAUGUGGGGACCAUUCCACGGUCUCCGUGUCGUAGCUAACGCAUUAAGUUCCCCGCCUGGGGAGUACGGCCGCAAGGCUAAAACUCAAAGGAAUUGACGGGGGCCCGCACAAGCGGCGGAGCAUGCGGAUUAAUUCGAUGCAACGCGAAGAACCUUACCAAGGCUUGACAUAUACCGGAAACGGCCAGAGAUGGUCGCCCCGCAAGGUCGGUAUACAGGUGGUGCAUGGUUGUCGUCAGCUCGUGUCGUGAGAUGUUGGGUUAAGUCCCGCAACGAGCGCAACCCUCGUCCUAUGUUGCCAGCACGUAAUGGUGGGAACUCAUGGGAUACUGCCGGGGUCAACUCGGAGGAAGGUGGGGAUGAGGUCAAAUCAUCAUGCCCCUUAUGUCUUGGGCUUCACGCAUGCUACAAUGGCCGGUACAAUGGGCUGCGAUACCGCAAGGUGGAGCGAAUCCCAAAAAGCCGGUCUCAGUUCGGAUUGGGGUCUGCAACUCGACCCCAUGAA
Molecule: ribosomal RNA, 1253 nt
Filed under: Agrococcus sp.
Lineage: Bacteria; Bacillati; Actinomycetota; Actinomycetes; Micrococcales; Microbacteriaceae
Description: bacterial SSU rRNA
Rfam family: Bacterial small subunit ribosomal RNA
Source: RNAcentral